CCUACGGGAGUCAGCAGUGAGGAAUAUUGGUCAAUGGGCGCAAGCCUGAACCAGCCAAGUAGCGUGAAGGAUGACUGCCCUCCGGGUUGUAAACUUCUUUUAUAAAGGAAUAAAGUGAGGAACGUGUGCCUUUUUGUAUGUACUUUAUGAAAAAGGAUCGGCUAACUCCGUGCCAGCAGCCGCGGUAAUACGGAGGAUCCGAGCGUUAUCCGGAUUUAUUGGGUUUAAAUGGAGCGUUGAUGGGUUGUUAAGUCAGUUGUGAAAGUUUGCGGCUCAACCGUAAAAUUGCAAUUGAUAAUGGCAGUCUUGAGUACAGUUGAGGUAGGCGGAAUUCGUGGUGUAGCGGGGAAAUGCUUAGAUAUCACGAAGAACUCCGAUUGCGAAGGCAGCUUACUAAACUGCCACUGACAUUGAUGCUCGAAAGUGUGGGUAUCAAACAGGAUUAGAUACCCCAGUAGUC
Molecule: ribosomal RNA, 460 nt
Filed under: uncultured bacterium
Lineage: Bacteria
Description: partial 16S ribosomal RNA
Rfam family: Bacterial small subunit ribosomal RNA
Source: RNAcentral